UCCGCAACAGGCUUGAACAUACGCAAGAAAGCACAGCCCUACGGCAAAGGACCAAAACAAAAAAAAAAAUGUCGAAGCCGGUAGGUCACUACAUCGGCCACAGUUGGCUUCUUCAGCCCAGCUUUCACCAUCAACCGUCGAAACAGGUCUUGGAACACGUAUCAAAUAAGGCCUGUCAUUCAGAGACAGCUGCUGCCCGUUACGUAGCUCGUGAAUCACUGACUCCACGGAUGGCCUAUCAUAGAGAUACUCGUUGGUGCAAGAGGCAAUUCUCGCGAGUUUAGCCACCUCGUACUCGAAGAACCUUUUUUUCGUGGAUAUUUGCAUCGAUGAAAUCCUGAAAUCUGCAUGAUUCAGUAGCCAGAUGCUUGGAGUGAUCUACGUUCUGCGUCCCCCACAGCAUUUGGAAAACAAUCACUCCAACCUCAUAGACUUCACUCUUAUCCAUGAACCGGCCCCGCAGACGUUUACUCUGGCUUUAGGUUGCCCACGGCAGCGCUAGCUUUGAGCAGUGAGAACACAACGACUGCGCGUGAGUAGCCUGUGGAGACCAGAGUCAUAGAGCAACGGGUUGUCAUCACUGGUCUAUGACCAUGCACAUAGGCAAUAUCAUUUUGGUAAGAUCAUUCGAAAUCAAAAGCCGCAACUUGCAAGCAGAAGACGAUGAAGAUCAGUUGAUCCCCAACUCAAAGAAAGAUAAACAAAUAAAUUUGAUGUCACCUUAUGCAAUACGAACGCCACAAUCACUACCCUGUAUUAUUACAUGACAGGGCAGUGACCAGGCAAUAAUUAUUAUGCAGCAAAAUUAACAACGGCAGGUUUCUAUCCAAAGAGAAAGGUCCUGGACCACCUGAAUUAGUACCCCCAAAAUGACUUGGUAAUGCCAUUACUAAGUUCAUGGCCCUCUAGCUGGUUACUGCUCACUAGCGGCCCAAGGUACUGUCAAAGGUGCAUCAGAAGAUUUUGGUACUAGAGGUAUUGUUUUGAAGGUUUCUCACUAGCAUUUAAAAAUGCUGACUGCGCUUAUUAAGCUAUAAUAAAUAUACUUUUGGAAAUGUAAAGAAGUGGUUUUUUUUUUUUUUUUUUAAAUGUUCGAAUUUCUUGUCAUUUGUAAUGCCAUUAGACUUUACUCAACUUCAAGGUCUUGGAGCGGUGCUUAGAAUGUGCCUUCAGGCACCCACCGACAAUAACCUACCAAGGUUACAAAUAGCUCUCUAACAUCCUGGAAACUCCAUAAUUCAAGUUCCAAAUUCCAACAGAAGCUUUAUGCACAAAGGGCAACUUAGGCAAUGGCUAGCUGCAACAGGAGUUAUCAAACUUGUAGCACAAGGAUAAAAUGAAGAACUCCGAACCAAAGUUGAGCCUUGGAAAGAUCAUGGGCUAAGGAUUGAGAUUCAUUAGAUAGCCCAUUCUGAUGAAACAAAAAGGAAAAUAUCAGAUAGUACUAUUGACCUUUAACGAUUACCUUCACGAUCGAACUCCUGUGGACCAACCCAAGGGCGCCACUGUCCCUCUCCUUCAAAUGCGAAAAGCUUAGCAGAGUCCUUUUCAGACCAUACUCAUAUAUCAGAAGCACCCACCCGGCCCCUUGAGCAGCAAAAUCCUCUCAGCAUCAUCAGAUUUUCAUGUCUCAGCGAGGUCUACGCAAUCGCUUCAUGAAACUCAGAUUCAUCAGCCUUGCAGCUAGUUUUAUGGAUGCAUUUAAUGGCGAAGAACUAGUUCAUGAAACACCUCUGAAAUCUAGACUUCCAACUGUCUCCGGCGCCACCUAAGUUAAGACAUAAUUGGAGAGCAUCUUCCUAUUGUCCAUGUCCCCAUCAAGAACUAGUUCAUAGUCAUGUUCAUAACAAUAUUAUUCUUACCAUGCUUUUUUUGUCAGCUCAUUUUAACAUAUUCAUGUUCCUAGGAAUCUAUACUAGGUCAUUUUAUCAUAUUUCACCCUAGCAUAAUACUUCUUUCCAGACCCUCAGAGUUCAAUUAGAUGUCCAUGGCACAUUGCACGUCUGCUAGAUCUUUAAAAUGAGAUUUAAUCUGAACAUAUUGUGAAUUUUACAGCUUCAUCACAAUAAACCAGAUACACUGGGAUCCUCCAGAAAAAGGACUAGGUGCGUAGCAGGGAGGUGGCCAGCCAUCUCAAGGCGUCAUCAAUCAUGGUCAACAAUCUUAGUAGAAAGGGCCAGCUGCUUGCGGAGGUAAGGACAUGUUAUCUUGUAGAGAUCUUGUUUAAUACCAUUUGUGAUUAGGGGAGGAAAGUCAACAAUUAUUUCCAGAAAAAAAAAAUGCGGUUAGAUAAUAACUGCUUUUACCAUGUAUUUCCAAAAUGAAGUGGGUAGUGGUGGGAAGGAGCUUCAAUUCCUAAUAAAAUCCUAUGUAUUUCCUCGUGGUCCGCAAAUAUAUUUUUUAAUAACUUAUCAGUACCAUCCGAAUGCAGUUGAUGUGUGCAAAUGUUGUGUGAAGAGUGCAGUCAUGUUCUUGAGAUAGCAAAAGCAAUUAGGAGGUUGGGCUGACGAUCUUAUAAGGUGUCUCAAAAGCACAUGGUGAAAAGAUAUGGAUAUGUUUUGUUCAUGUGCGACGAUGGGUGUUGACCUUAUUACAACAGUGAGGUAUCGUGAAUGGAGUUUGAGUUUGCACGGGUCACAUCCUCCUGAAAACUCUGCAAUGUUAGAGCCCACUGGGAGUUGAAAGUCCUAUCGUGACGUGAGUGAUGAUGUUACCAAUGCUCAAAUGUUUCGGCUUUUCUUGCUUCAAUCUGUUUUGCUGCUACAUGCCAUUGCAUUGAGGGCGGAUUCUGCGAGAUGUGCAUUUGGUCCUCGUUUCCUUCUGCUACAUGUGCCAUACGCUAGCAACUAAAUACAUGCAUCAAGUACUCAACUCUCUUUUCAGUUCAUGGUCCCCUGGGCAUUCUUGUGGAUGAUGUGCGCGCAGUGGUGAACUGAAUGGUGUCCAAGGAUGAUUUGCAUGUGAUUAGUCACCUGAACCCAUUGACAUAUCGACAUUGUGUUCUGUUCUCACCCAGGAGAAGGAUUUGGGGGUGAAAUCUGUGGGUGGUAUGAAGGACGAUACUUCGCAUUUUGUAUGCAAACAGAAAAUCAUGGAUUCAUGAAGGAAAAGGCGAAUGGUGAAGGUAUGUCCAAAACUAUUUUCCAAUGAAUGGUGGUAGUAUUUAAGGAAAAAGCGCAAAUUUGAUUCAACAAUUCGCACUCUUUUUCCAAUGUCAAUAUCAAAUUGUCGUGCAAUCAAGUUUUUGAACUUGUAGAAUUUGUCUAAUCAAGGCAAUUGUACUGACUCGGACAACUUGAAGCCAACAUGCUUAUUGAUGCUAGAAAAAAAUAUGAUGUAAAUUGUUGACAAUCAAUUUCUACUGAUCAAGUUGCACAACAAUUAAGCAAAUGUUCAGCACCUUUUCAUAAGGUUCCAUCACUUAUUUCAAGAUCAAAAUUUUGGCUGAAAUUGAUUGAAAUUGAUUGACAUGCUAGUUUCCAUUUCCUGGAGCUAGUAACAAAAAGAUUUGACUGAAAAAAGAUUUUUUCAAUAUUGUAGAUUCAUAACGACCAAUCUUCCUUUGCAUCUAAAACUCGAUGCAUUUGAAGAACUUAGCCACAUUCCACUAUGCAUCAGAAGAAUCAACUUUGGCAUUGAUUUCUUUUAGAUGAGGAAGAUUUUAUUGCUCAGAUCGAAAAAGGAAGUUACGAAGUCCUGCCACAAACUCAGAUACAUGAUAUAGCCAGUCAAGACACUCACUCAGGAUUUGCCACAACUCUGCUCUAUUUGGAGUCACUUAUCCUGAAGUGAGGAAGUGCUGAAUUGCCACUCAAGCCAUGGGAAGUAUAAUGGGUGAUGUAUUCCGAAAGAGAGGUUUCUUUGUAUAUGGGUGGAUUGUUUUCAGAGAGAAGCUCCUUUAUUGGCCCAAAGGGUUUGGUUUUUUGCAUCCGGCUCCAGGUGAAAAAGCAUGCGACUGAAACCCUCGGUCCGUCCCGCCCAGCGAGUACUCGGUGCUGCACGCUUUUGAACUUGUCAUUGGAAACAAGCUGCAACCAUCAUGUUAGGCCAGAAAAGGAGUUAUGUCUUCUAAAGACGUAGUAAAGAUGAACGCCAAGAGCUAGGCAUAGAAUGCAGUGUGUUUUCAUGCCGCAACAUUGCUCUGUUAUUUCACUUAUGAUUCUUGUCAAGUACUCAGGGUAUCGUGGUAAGUUCAUUCUACAUUCGAUUGGUCGCUUAGAAAAUAUUAUCUGGACUCACUGUGUCGUUGAUGUAAUGAAGGGCGUUCAAAACCGACUCCAGAGAGACAUAUCUGGAGGUCAAUUUCAUAUUUGCUAUGUAGGCCAGAAAACAUAAGGUCAGAAAGAAGGUGGACCUUUCUUUACCUGCAUCAAGUCUCCGAUGUUGGCUAGAAGUGCUCCCUUCACGGGAACCACAUCAACCCAGUGGUUUUCUUGGAGGACUUGGAGGCCACCAUGGUGGUCUUGAAGGAGAAGAGUCAGAAACGAUGAGUCCGAGUGAUUAACUAUGCCGAGAGUCAAUUCCGGUUCAGGACAAGCUGGGUAGUAAUGGCCCAUCACUGUCUCCGAUUUCAUACACUCAGUGCCACUGAGAUAAUCAGAACCAAGGCCCAGUGCCUCUGAUAAUAGUUCGGCUAAAGAUGUCUUCAGCUCCGCGAUAUGUUUCUCGAACUUGGAAACUGCCUCCCUGCAAACGAGUAAAUGAAAUCACCGUGUGCGAGUUUCGAGUGUCAGGGUUUAUAGCAUUAUAUGCGUUCUUUUCUUUUGAAAAAAAAAAAUGCAUGUUGGACUUGGGGAACAACUUUUGCACUCCCUAAAACGAAGGUUAUUAACGAGUUUUCCACAACCAAGCUUUGAUCUGUAUGGAAAUGCAUCAUACACUGAAUGAUCUAAUUUACCUGGUUUCAGAUUUCUGAAAAUACAGAGUAUGUUAUUGGACCCCAACCUGUCCUGAGUAAAAGAAAUGCCCAAAAUUGUUCUCAUUUCUCUCGUAGCAACUUCAAUUAUUAACUUUCAUAAGUCAUACAUGUACCUGCAAAUAGGAGGAACAGCCUCUGGGUCGAGGACACCAUCCUGGAAAUCAAAUAUGACACUAUCUCUCCAAGUUGCUGCUUUUGACAGGAACAAGUCUCCAUUGCAAUAGUACCUCACUCUCUUCGUCCCAUCUCUGGAGUACAGCUCUUUCUUCGCUUCCACUUGUUGCUCAUGGAACUUCUUCACACCCUCCAACAUGCUGUCCAUCACAUCGAGCGGAACCCCGUGAUUGAUCAUCUGAAAGAACCCCCAUGUCUCCGAUGCUUCGCGAAUACCAUCAAUGACAUCUCGCCGCCGAAAAUCCUGACAGCCUCUUAGAUCGAUGAUCGGGACCUGGAGGCCAGUCCCAUUCGAGUUGGAGGACAAACCACGCAAGUUCUCGGGCGGGUGGAUGAAGAUCCUGGGGACCUUGGUCACGCCAGAGUCCACAAGGCCUUUGACUCCGGCCUUGGUCUCAUCGAAUUCCUGCAAUUCUUUCGCUCUGUCAUAAUCCCGGUCGCAACAAGUGAUGAAUUGUGCAUGACUGGACAAGGUUGGCAUCGUCUUGUAGUGACAAAGGUUGAAAUCUUGAUGAAUCUGAGCCCUGAUCAGGGGGAGGCUGUUACCAUGAGAGUGAUAUGAAGAUGAUUAGCUAGAGAGGCCAUUGCACAAAUAUGGUCAAGUCAACAGCCAAUGGCCAAGGGAACUAACUGUCAAAGAUUCCCCAGUGACGAGGCUGGCGGUAGUUGAAGAGUCCCUGUCGUGAUGUCAAAGAUGGUAACAAGUGGGCCCUUAAAAGAAAGACAGGUCCAGGAGACCCAAUUCUCUUCUCUUACGAGUUGCGCCCACCGAUUUGAAGCCAACAAUUCAGCAUUGUUUACAAUUGUUGCAGCUAGUUUAAGAGGAAAAAAAUUGGAAAAACUGAAAUGAGAAACGAACCAGGCGAGAGGGAAAGGGGUAUGGUUCAAGCUCGUCGGGACAUUUAAAUGCAUCGGAUUAAGGUUGUUUCGAAGCGCCCAGAUAGAAAUCGAAGCUUUAAUUAUCUAAAUGAAAAAAAAAAAUGCUUGGUUAAGCUGUAAUUUCCACUCAGUUGAAAUGUUAGGUCGCUGGAUUGAUUCUAGAGGUCGUUGUGGUAUGAAACUAUGUUGUAAAGAAACUUUAGGACGUCUUGGAAGUGUAAGAUUUUAUAUAAGUCAAUUCAAGAUUAUGGUUUGAUCGAGGUGACAUUUUGAGGUUUGUUAUACUAGAACCAUGUUCAAAUUAUUGUGCUUAACACCACUUUUCCCUAGUCCUUGGCCAUAUAACUCGCCCCUUUUAAUUAUGUUAAGUUAGUUUUUCAAUGGCUCUAGACCCACUUGAAAUAGGCAUUGAUUGAAUUCAAAUGAACCAUUUUAAAUUUGACGCACGAGUUACCGCAGUACAUUAGACAUCAAUAGCUAUUCUGCUUUAGUCGAGCUUUUGUUGGCACAUUGAAAUAGUUCUUUUAGUAGAUAAGCUUACUUUACUUUUGUCGAAUCUUAAUUAAGGUAGCUAUCUACUUAAUUUUGAUAUCCAUUUGUCACUUAAAGGAUACGAAUUCAAAUUUUUCCACUUGAGGUAGCUUUUGUUGUUGUGUUUCGCAUUUUCAAGUGAACAUGCUCAUCCCUUCUCUGAUUUGCAAACUAAUGUCUUAAAAAUGAUAGAAAUUAGAUAUUUUGCAAGUUAUGAAAGAGGUAUCAUCUGUUAUCCUUUUGGUUAUUGGAAAUGGCAUAGUAAGGUAUCUCUUGAAAUAAUUUGGGGGUAGAUUAUUUGUGAAAUGGUCUUGGAAUACUAUAUGAAAUGUAUUCUUCUUAAUGGAAGAAAAUGUGAAAGGUUAUAUACAUACAGCUAUAUAUUGAUUUGUGAACUUGAUUUAUAGAAAUGAAAUUUGAAAUAAUUUUAUGAUUGGUUGGAAGAGUGUGAUAAUGGUUUCAUGCCCUUGGCCCUAAAACAAUUGAAAGGAGUUUUGAGUGUGUAUAAUGUUCUCUGGGCAUCUUAUUUGGGCUAAACCAUCGACUGAUAUAGGUGAAGGCAUAUACCAAAGGGCAUCUUGGUAGACCUUGUCCCAGGGCAUUAAGUGUAGUUAUAGUUUGAUAUUGAGCACAUGAUUGACCAAUGAACUAGAUCAUUGACAUUUGUUAUGAUAUUAUUGAUUGAAUGAGUAUAUAUUAUAUGUAUAAAGUUGUAUUAAAUUGGUAUAACUAAUCUUUAAUGUAUUUUACAUGCUGAAUUUGGAUAAAUGUGUUUCUGGUAUUGUUUAAAUGUGCAUAACUGAUACUCAAUCUACUUAAAAGAGAUUUAUACUACUCAAUAAGCGGUAAUUUGCUCAGAUCAUUCAUCUUAGUUCUUUUUUAGGUUUUACAACUAGUAGCAAAUAGAAAGAGAGUGGAAUCAGUGAGGGAAUUUGGGAGUUCAAGUUUGGUAUGACUUAAGAUAGAAUGCUAUUUGUCAAGUUUAGUGUAGAAGUCACUAGAGAUGCACUUAUUCUUUUUUGUAGACUUUAGAACUAUGAUCAUGUAUCUAACUUGAUAUUGUAUCAUAUGUACAUAUAUAUAUAUAUAUAUAUAUAUAUAUAUAUAUAUAUAUUAUUUUCAUAAUAGAUUUGAUUUUGUAUAUGAGGCUCCAUGAUUUUCUCUAUACAUGAAGAUUUAGGGUGUGACCAAUAAGGGAUGGUGUGAGCGACCAAAUUGCCCAAACACUAAAAGGAGAGCUCUCAAGUCAAAUGAAACAUUAAUUUUGGGCAUUUUAUCACAAUAUUAGUUUCAUGGUAUAUGGAGAUCGACCUUCAAGGUUGGCAUGGCAAGUAAUGUGUCAUGUCACAAGCGGACUUUGUAUAAGUGAAUCAUAUCCGAGCCGAACUUGACAAGUUCUUUCGAGUAAAACUUAAAUUUGUUACAGCAAACUCCAAAGCCAACAUGAUUUGAUAAGUUUUAACAACAAGUAGAAGAACAAACAGGGCUUGGGGUGUCUCUAAAAGAAAAUGGCAUUCAAAAAUCAAUAUAGUAAAUCCCUGAAAGCUUAUUCAAUUUUGAUUCCAAUUUUCUUCCAGAUAUUUUCACAUUUUUACAUACUAAACUAAUUAUAAACUAGAACUAGCACUAAAAUCUAGUAAAACUACUCAAAAUCUAAUUUUUAAAUUUUUGCCUAAAUUUCUAAAUUCUUUAUUUUUUUAUUAUUUUUGCUCCAAAUCAUGGAGACUCGUAUCAAGUCUGGAGACUGGAAUUUAUGUUAAUUGUGUAAAGACGAGCAUUAAGUUAUAUUGAGUUUGUAUUUUUAAAAUGAACUUAAUUCUCUUUUUGCUCCGGGAACAAAAAAGUAAGCUUUUUCUAUUUCUCUUUUUGGUUCCAAAACUAUUUGCUAGCCACUAAUCCGUCCGAGAAAUAGAAAGCUUAGCUGAUAUUGCCAAAUGGAUCUAUUUUCUAUUUUCUCUGGUGAGAAACAAAAAGAACAGAAAAAUGGAGGAACAGAAAUGUUAAUAAACAAGACCUCAUAUUCUGCAGAAACAAGGAGAGCUAGUAGGCGCUGGGUUGCCAUCCAAUAUAUGGUCAGAUCGAAAGGGACUCGUAUCGUCUCAUGGUGAUCAAGUGCCUGGAUUAGAGUUUCUAGUUUAAUGAAACAUCCAAUCCAAUACUGAAGAACAUGGCCCCGGCCCACAAAAUAAACUAAGGGCAAUGCUGUUUUCGAGGAUUGACUAUAUAUCAGCAAUGAAAAACAAAUCGCUUUUAUUAACUAGCUACUAUCGUUCGAUCUUUCACAUUUAAAAUACCAGGGCGACAAGGCUAGUGUCAGGCGUUGAAACUCAGCGAUUUUCACCUACACAAUUGCAGAGCGUCGCGAGAAAUAUCGAACAUCUAAAAUCGAAAUGUACCUACUCCCGAAGAGAAUUUUUCGCAAGGCACUUGUACAAGCACGAACUAGAGCAAUACGUCCGCAACAGGCUUGAACAUACGCAAGAAAGCACAGCCCUACGGCAAAGGACCAAAACAAAAAAAAAAAUGUCGAAGCCGGUAGGUCACUACAUCGGCCACAUUUGGCUUCUUCAGCCCAGCUUUCACCAUCAACCGUCGAAACAGCUCUUGGAACACGUAUCAAAUAAGGCCUGUCAUUCUGAGACAGCCGCUGCCCGUUACGUAGCUCGUGAAUCACUGACUCCACGGAUGGCCUAUCAUAGAGAUACUCGUUGGUGCAAGAGGCAAUUCUUGCGAGUUUAGCCACCUCGUACUCGAAGAACCUUUUUUUCGUGGAUAUAUGCAUCGAUGAAAUCCUGAAAUCUGCAUGAUGUAGUAGCCAGACGCCUGGAGUGAUCUACAUUCUGCGUCCCCCACAGCAUUGGGAAAACAAUCACUCCAACCGCAUAGACUUCACUCUUAUCCAUGAACAGGCCCCGCAGACGUUUACUCUGGCUUUAGGUUGCCCACGGCAGCGGUAGCUUUGAGCAAUGAGAACACAACGUCUGCGUGUGAGGGGCCUGUGGAGACCAGAGUCCUAG
RNAcentral lists this long non-coding RNA (9519 nucleotides) under Eucalyptus grandis. Its description in RNAcentral is "long non-coding RNA (EGRA_LNC006606)". Lineage: Eukaryota; Viridiplantae; Streptophyta; Magnoliopsida; Myrtales; Myrtaceae. The record is from RNAcentral.